This 253-nucleotide ribosomal RNA is filed under the name uncultured bacterium. RNAcentral describes it as "partial 16S ribosomal RNA". It matches the Rfam family "Bacterial small subunit ribosomal RNA", at positions 524 to 776 of the family's 1533-position model. The record is from RNAcentral.
UACGUAGGGUGCGAGCGUUAAUCGGAAUUACUGGGCGUAAAGCGUGCGCAGGCGGUUUUGUAAGCCAGAUGUGAAAUCCCCGGGCUUAACCUGGGAAUGGCAUUUGGGACUGCAAGGCUCGAGUGCGGCAGAGGAGACUGGAAUUCCUGGUGUAGCAGUGAAAUGCGUAGAUAUCAGGAGGAACACCGAUGGCGAAGGCAGGGCUGUGGGCUGACACUGACGCUCAUGCACGAAAGCGUGGGGAGCAAACAGG